AGGCGAGAAAAACUUUGCAAUGUGCGAAAAGCACGACAAGGUUAAUCCGAGUGGUUUCUGCUAAAGGAACCUUUUGCCAGUCCUAGAAACACUGGUGAAUAAGGGGUCGGGUCAAGUUUCUGGUGUCAGCCGCCGCGGUAAAACCAGCACCUCAAGUGGUCACGGAUGAUUAUUGGGCCUAAAGCAUCCGUAGCCUGCUUUGUUAGUUUUCGGUUAAAUCUAUUCGCUCAACG
RNAcentral lists this ribosomal RNA (233 nucleotides) under uncultured Nitrososphaerota archaeon. RNAcentral's name for it is "uncultured thaumarchaeote partial 16S ribosomal RNA". It matches the Rfam family "Archaeal small subunit ribosomal RNA", at positions 337 to 564 of the family's 1478-position model. Lineage: Archaea; Thermoproteati; Nitrososphaerota. The record is from RNAcentral.